AGAAGGUGCACCAUUCGUGGAGGUACUGUAAUACCAGGUUGAUGUGUGGAGUGGAUGGAGCAAGCCCCUCUUC
This is a non-coding RNA of Pangasianodon gigas (Mekong giant catfish), 73 nucleotides long. The record is from the annotation of a GenBank genome assembly. Lineage: Eukaryota; Metazoa; Chordata; Actinopteri; Siluriformes; Pangasiidae.